This 406-nucleotide ribosomal RNA is filed under the name uncultured bacterium. RNAcentral describes it as "partial 16S ribosomal RNA". It matches the Rfam family "Bacterial small subunit ribosomal RNA", at positions 29 to 526 of the family's 1533-position model. The record is from RNAcentral.
AUUGAACGCUGGCGGCAGGCCUAACACAUGCAAGUCGAACGAGUGGCGGACGGGUGAGUAAUGUCUGGGAAACUGCCCGAUGGAGGGGGAUAACUGCUGGAAACGGUAGCUAAUACCGCAUACCAUCGGAUGUGCCCAGAUGGGAUUAGCUAGUAGGUGGGGUAACGGCUCACCUAGGCGACGAUCCCUAGCUGGUCUGAGAGGAUGGCCAGGCAGACUGGAACUGAGACACGGUCCAGACGCCUACGGGAGGCAGCAGUGGGGAAUAUGGCAGAAUGGGCGAAAGCCUGAUGCAGCCAGGCCGAGUGUAUGAAGAAGGCCUUCGGGUUGUAAAGUGCUUGCAGCCGGGAGGCGUUACUCGCAGAAGAAGCACCGGCUAACUCCGUGCCAGCAGCCGCGGUAAUAC